Molecule: unclassified non-coding RNA, 702 nt
Filed under: Proteus mirabilis
Lineage: Bacteria; Pseudomonadati; Pseudomonadota; Gammaproteobacteria; Enterobacterales; Morganellaceae
Description: partial 16S-23S ribosomal RNA intergenic spacer
Rfam family: tRNA (bases 288-360)
Source: RNAcentral
CCUAAGAGAUACGUGUUAUGUGAAGUGCUCACACAGAUUGUCUGAUGAAGAACGAGCAGAGAUACCGGUAUAGGCUUGUAGCUCAGGUGGUUAGAGCGCACCCCUGAUAAGGGUGAGGUCGGUGGUUCAAGUCCACUCAGGCCUACCACUUUUCCUUUAUGCUGUGUUGUGAAGCAACUCGUUUACAUUAAGUAAACUUCGUUACUCCACGCCUUGCCUAAAGAAAAAGCUUCUUAUUAUAAUUAUAAGAAGAAAAAGGAGUGGUUAUACGGGUAUUAAAACAUUAUGGGGCUAUAGCUCAGCUGGGAGAGCGCCUGCCUUGCACGCAGGAGGUCAGCGGUUCGAUCCCGCUUAGCUCCACCAUAAUCUCUUGAAUAUAAAACAAUGAUUCAGAGUAUAUUAGGAAUAGUAUACUGUGAAUUAUUAUGCUCUUUAACAAUCUGGAACAAGCUGAAAAAUUGAAAACAAAUCAAUAUAUCACCGAGGUAUAUUGAUGAGUCUCUCAAAAUCUCAAAUUUUGAAUGUGUUUUGACAUCAAAAGUGGGAUGAGCGAGCAAUUUACAGUUCGAGGCGGACAGCGCACAGCAAGCGCAGCAUACUUAAGUAUGUGAGCAUUGCGAGCACUGCCCAACGAAGAAAAUGUAAAUCUGCGCAGCCAUCACCACCCAGAUAGUCUUUGAAAGAGACACUUUCGGGUUGUGA